This 253-nucleotide ribosomal RNA is filed under the name uncultured bacterium. RNAcentral's name for it is "partial 16S ribosomal RNA". It matches the Rfam family "Bacterial small subunit ribosomal RNA", at positions 524 to 776 of the family's 1533-position model. The record is from RNAcentral.
UACGUAGGGUCCGAGCGUUGUCCGGAAUUACUGGGCGUAAAGAGCUCGUAGGCGGUUUGUCGCGUCGGGAGUGAAAACCUUGGGCUUAACUCAGGGCUUGCUUUCGAUACGGGCAGACUAGAGGUAUGCAGGGGAGAACGGAAUUCCUGGUGUAGCGGUGAAAUGCGCAGAUAUCAGGAGGAACACCGGUGGCGAAGGCGGUUCUCUGGGCAUGAUCUGACGCUGAGGAGCGAAAGUGUGGGGAGCGAACAGG